RNAcentral lists this ribosomal RNA (922 nucleotides) under uncultured archaeon. RNAcentral's name for it is "bacterial SSU rRNA". It matches the Rfam family "Archaeal small subunit ribosomal RNA", at positions 1 to 922 of the family's 1478-position model. The record is from RNAcentral.
UUCCGGUUGAUCCUGCCAGAKGUUACUGCUAUCGGAGUUCGAUUAAGCCAUGCGAGUCUAAAGGUUUCUUCGGAAGCCUUGGCGGCACUGCUCAGUAACACGUGGAUAACCUGCCCUUAGGUCUGGCAUAACCCCGGGAAACUGGGGAUAAUACCGGAUAGCUCAGGGGUCGCUGGAAUGCGCCCUGAUCCAAAGCUCCGGCGCCUAAGGAUGGGUCUGCGACCUAUCAKGUUGUAGUGGGUGUAAUGUACCUACUAGCCGACGACGGGUACGGGUUGUGAGAGCAAGAGCCCGGAGAUGGAUUCUGAGACACGAAUCCAGGCCCUACGGGGUGCAGCAGGCGCGGAACCUUUACAAUGUGCGAAAGCAUGAUAAGGGAACUCCGAGUGCCAGCAUUAAAUGUUGGCUGUCCUUGUGCCUAAAACGCACAAGAUAGCAAGGGCCGGGUAAGACCGGUGCCAGCYGCCGCGGUAACACCGGCGGCCCGAGUGGUAGCCGCUAUUAUUGGGUCUAAAGGGUCCGUAGCCGGUUUGAUAAGUCCUCUGGGAAAUCUGAUUGCUCAACAAUCAGGCUGCCAAGGGAUACUGUCAAACUUGAGACCGGGAGAGGUAAGAGGUACUUCAAGGGUAGGAGUGAAAUCUUAUAAUCCUUGGGGGACCGUCUGUGGCGAAGSCGUCUUACCAGAACGGGUCUGACGGUGAGGGACGAAAGCUGGGGGCGCGAACCGGAUUAGAUACCCGGGUAGUCCCAGCCGUAAACGAUGCUCGCUAUGUGUCAGAUACGGUGCGACCGUAUCUGGUGCCGUAGGGAAGCCGUGAAGCGAGCCACCUGGGAAGUACGGCCGCAAGGCUGAAACUUAAAGGAAUUGGCGGGGGAGCACUACAACGGGUGGAGCUGCGGUUUAAUUGGAUUCAACGCCGGG